This is a long non-coding RNA of Sander lucioperca (pikeperch), 660 nucleotides long. RefSeq lists it as uncharacterized. The record is from RefSeq and is a predicted model, not a curated record. NCBI's taxonomy places the organism in Eukaryota, Metazoa, Chordata, Actinopteri, Perciformes, Percidae. The transcript has 2 exons.
AGAGCGGAAGGGGACACUUCCUGCUAAUUUUUCAAAUUAAAAGCCUGCUGGUAACAAGAGGAUAUCCCGUGACCUGCUGGAUGGUUUUAAAUGUAAAUCUGUGCAUAAAGUGUUGCGUUUCAUUGAUGGUAGCUUAACAGUGACUGAAAAUAAUUAGGAACUGAAAACAGCAUGUGUGUUUAAAAAGAGAAUCUCUUUUGUUUAGUGAAUCUGGAAAUAGUGCUGUAGAAAUGUACAUUAUACUGAAUUUAUCAAGACAACAGGGAAACAUAAAGGCAUCAGAAAACAGGGAGGCUGCUUACUAGAACAUGAUAAUGAUACAUAAAAGGUCUGGUUUUCUCUGUAGUCGAGGCAAAUUAAGGCCCCGUUAUUAUUUUGCAGUUACGGUCUAGAGAAUAAUACAAUUUUGGUCACCCUUUAAUACCCAACUGUAUACAGUGUGUUUGACAACCCAAUCACAUACAGUUUUCUGACAUGAAAGCCAAGUUAAGCUUAACUUAAAUCUUAAUUUGUUAAGUGUUGCAUCCACUAUCAAGCUUGUAUAAAAACACCCAAAUAAGUUGGUCUCAUUACCGUCACGUAUUUACGCUCAAAUGCUAAUAAUCAAAAUCAGCUUUUUUAAAAGAAUGGUAAAGUUGUAUCAGGAUCAUAAAACAGAAA